Molecule: transfer RNA, 72 nt
Filed under: Listeria rocourtiae FSL F6-920
Lineage: Bacteria; Bacillati; Bacillota; Bacilli; Caryophanales; Listeriaceae
Description: tRNA-Val
Rfam family: tRNA
About the family: Transfer RNA (tRNA) molecules are approximately 80 nucleotides in length.
Source: RNAcentral
GGGGCUUAGCUCAGCUGGGAGAGCAUCUGCCUUACAAGCAGAGGGUCAGCGGUUCGAUCCCGUUACGCCCCC